CCUGCGGAAGGAUCAUUACAGAGAAAUUGCCCUCCGGGGUAGAUCUCCCACCCUUUGUUUAUAUUACCUUUGUUGCUUUGGCAGGCCCGUCUUAUGACCACUGGCCUAGGCUGGUCCGCGCCUGCCAGAGGACCCUAAACUCUUGAUUUUUAUAAUGUCCGAGUCACAAACAAAUAAGUUAAAACUUUCAACAACGGAUCUCUUGGUUCUGGCAUCGAUGAAGAACGCAGCGAAAUGCGAUAAGUAAUGUGAAUUGCAGAAUUCAGUGAAUCAUCGAAUCUUUGAACGCACAUUGCACCCUCUGGUAUUCCGGGGGGUAUGCCUGUUCGAGCGUCAUUUCAACUCUCAAGCCCAGCUUGGUAUUGGGUGUCACCUGGCAAUGGUGUACCUUAAAAUCAGUGGCGGUGCUGUCUGGCUUCAAGCGUAGUAAAACAAUCGCUUUGGAGGUUUGGAUGUGUUCUUGCCAUCAACUCCUAAUUUAUCAAAGGUUGACCUCGGAUCAGGUAGGGAUACCCGCUGAACUUAAGCAUAUCAAUAAGCGGAGGA
Molecule: ribosomal RNA, 546 nt
Filed under: uncultured Helotiales
Lineage: Eukaryota; Fungi; Ascomycota; Leotiomycetes; Helotiales
Description: eukaryotic LSU rRNA
Rfam family: 5.8S ribosomal RNA (bases 183-336)
Source: RNAcentral